Molecule: ribosomal RNA, 248 nt
Filed under: uncultured bacterium
Lineage: Bacteria
Description: partial 16S ribosomal RNA
Rfam family: Bacterial small subunit ribosomal RNA
Source: RNAcentral
AUACGGAGGAUCCGAGCGUUAUCCGGAUUUAUUGGGUUUAAAGGGUGCGUAGGCGGUUUGAUAAGUUAGAGGUGAAAUAUCGGGGGCUUAACUCCGAAACUGCCUCUAAUACUGUUAGACUAGAGAAUAGUUGCGGUAGGCGGAAUGUAUGGUGUAGCGGUGAAAUGCUUAGAGAUCAUACAGAACACCGAUUGCGAAGGCAGCUUACCAAACUAUAUCUGACGUUGAGGCACGAAAGCGUGGGUAGC